RNAcentral lists this ribosomal RNA (395 nucleotides) under uncultured bacterium. Its description in RNAcentral is "bacterial SSU rRNA". It matches the Rfam family "Bacterial small subunit ribosomal RNA", at positions 957 to 1353 of the family's 1533-position model. The record is from RNAcentral.
UAACGCGAAGAACCUUACCAGGUCUUGACAUCUUCUGCUAACCUAAGAGAUUAAGCGUUCCCUUCGGGGACGGAAUGACAGGUGGUGCAUGGUUGUCGUCAGCUCGUGUCGUGAGAUGUUGGGUUAAGUCCCGCAACGAGCGCAACCCUUAUUGUCAGUUGCCAGCAUUUAGUUGGGCACUCUGGCGAGACUGCCGGUGACAAACCGGAGGAAGGUGGGGAUGACGUCAAAUCAUCAUGCCCCUUAUGACCUGGGCUACACACGUGCUACAAUGGACGGUACAACGAGUCGCGAAACCGCGAGGUCAAGCUAAUCUCUUAAAGCCGUUCUCAGUUCGGAUUGUAGGCUGCAACUCGCCUACAUGAAGUUGGAAUCGCUAGUAAUCGUGGAUCAGC